AGGUCAUGUUGAAACACCAGUUCCUGUACGAUCACCGAAGUUAAGCAAUGUCGAGCCUGGUUAGUACCUAGAUGGGUGACUGCUUGGGAAUAUCAGGUGCU
This 101-nucleotide ribosomal RNA is filed under the name Acanthosepion pharaonis. Lineage: Eukaryota; Metazoa; Mollusca; Cephalopoda; Sepiida; Sepiidae. The record is from RNAcentral.